RNAcentral lists this unclassified non-coding RNA (487 nucleotides) under Hevea brasiliensis (rubber tree). The record is from RNAcentral. Lineage: Eukaryota; Viridiplantae; Streptophyta; Magnoliopsida; Malpighiales; Euphorbiaceae.
UGACAAUACAUCAUAAGUUAAAACAAAACCUCAACUUAGAAUCUAGCUGCAGAGACAAAUCUGGCCAAGAAUACAAAUCAGCAUUGGGCAAUUUUCUCUAAUCAGAGCCAGUGAAGAAUCCAUUUCUCAAUAGGAAAUUACAUGAAGCUUCUUCUACACAAUAGUUUAACCAUGAAAACAUCACUUCUCCUUGAAAAGGUACAGCAGCAGCAUCUAUAUACAAAGGUUAAGCACAUCUUGUGCGUAUCAAGCAUUUGUGCCUGGGUCACUGAUCACACCCAGGAAAUCAUCCUUUAUCGUACCAAUACAGAAAAUUUCUGUGGCAUCAACACGUGUUCCGAUAAUCUUCAAUCUAACUUCACUUUCCUUCUGAAUUUUAACCGAACCAUCUGAAGUUGUAUAAUUUGGCACAUCCCCCGAUUGAAACUCCAUGUCAUCAGGUAUCAAGUGAUUUGAGACAAAAAUCUGCACAGGCCCUGCUUCAGCA